Molecule: long non-coding RNA, 4323 nt
Organism: Cornus florida
Lineage: Eukaryota; Viridiplantae; Streptophyta; Magnoliopsida; Cornales; Cornaceae
Exons: 6
Source: RefSeq, a predicted model, not a curated record
GACAAUACACUUUUUUUAUGUUGACGUACUUUCUUACAUUUGUCUAUCUCUCUCGCCCGAUCUACUUUCUUUCUCUCUCUCCCCCCAACCAGUUUGAACGUGCAGAUCGGCGAUCUACGCUCUUUCACUCUCUUGUUUCUUUCUUUUCAUGUCUCUCCCCCCGAACGAAGAUCAGCUGAAGCUUUUGAGAAAACAGGACCCAACUGAGGGUAGCAGAACCGGAGCGAAGCUCUGUGAACAAACAACAACCAAACUGGUGAAUAACUCCAUCAACGUGCAGAUCGGCGAGACCCGGAAGUUUAAACACCGUGAACUCCGGCGAGCUUCAGUUCAGUACAGAGAUCUCCGGCGAGCUCUCUUACUCCCUCUACCAGACCAGGAAGCAAAUCGAACACUACCGACGCGCCGAACCAACUGAAGCUAGCAGAACCGGCGUGAAGCUCUGUGAGCAAACAACAACCAAACUGGUGAAUAACUCCAUCAACGUGCAGAUCGGCGAGACCCAGAAGUUUAAACACCAUGAACUCCGGCGAGCUUCAGUUCAGUACAGAGAUCUCCGGCGAGCUCUCUUACUCUCUCUACCAGACCAGGAAGCAAAUCGAACACUACCACCGCGCCGAACCAACUGAAGCUAGCAGAACCAGCGUUACCAAACUGAACGGUGAAGAAGUGAAGACCGGCGAGACCCAGAAGUUUAAACACCAUGAACUCCGGCGAUUCAGUUCAGUACAGAGAUAAACCAAUCGCCGUGAACAGUUCCGGCGAGCCCAUUAACAAAUCCAGAAGUGCGCGUGCUCCUGUUUAGGCAAACUUCAGUUUCGGUGAGUCAAUCCGGCGAGACGAGAAGUUCCGGUGAGCUCCAGCGAAGCCUCAACCUUCUCGACCCAACUGCAGUAAUGUUUUCCGGCGUGUUUCAGCGAUGACCGACGCGAGCUACAACAAACAACGUCGACCAAACUUCAGAGACAAGUUUAAGUCCGGCACCUAGAGUUCUCUAACUCCGGCGAGGCUCAAUCCACUCCGGCGAGUUUCAGUGAGUUGCCGGUGCGAACUUCAGGCGUAGCUUCAGUUCGUAGCACCUCUGUUACGGUGACCAGGCUGUUUCGGCGAGCUUCAAUCACUCCCAACUGCUCAGGCGAGUUUCAGUGUGUUACCGGUCCAAACUUACAGAUCCAAAGUGAAAACCCAUAUCAGAUUCCGCAUAGAACCGGGUUUGGUAUUGGAGAGGAAAUUGCCGGUGCUUGUACCUUUAUUUUUGUGGACUGAUCACCUAUUCAGUGACGGUUGUAAUGCACACACCAAAUAUUAUAUCGAACAGGACCUCAACCCCCCCUUGGGCAUCUAUGUGAAAUUUGUGUUUGUUCCAUAGCCAGAUCUGAAUUUGAGAAAAAGGAAUCGAAAUCCAAGACAUCUGGCGGUUAUCCUAUGAGCACUGGUCUUGGGAUUUUGAAAACUUAUUCUAGUCAAACUCCUCAGCUGGUCAAUAUUUUUGGGUUGACGGGCAGCCAAGUAUUCCUUUUGCGCUCAGGCAGACUGAUCUCCGCUUCUGAUUUUGUUUCCAAGCUUGAGGCAUCUCCUGGUGGAAUAUACCUUUCCAAAGACGAAUAUUGCCAAUGGUUGGCUGCUGCUCCAAAAAAGGAUUUUAUGGUAGAGCUUUUAAUGGAAGGCUGGUUAUGCGUUGUUGGAACAAAUGUGAAAUUAUUAGAUUCUAUAAAGACUGUUGUUGGAGAAAGACCUAGUUCUAUUUGUGCAUACGUUGAUGGGUCUUAAUGGCUUCCUUUAAGCGCACUAAAGGAAGCCAUUAAGACCCAUCAACGUAUGCACAAAUAGAACUAGCUUGAUAACCUUUAUUCCUCUGGGCAAGAGUUGUUACUCUUUGGGGAUUCUGUUGUUAUGCUGCUACUACACAUACCAAGAUAAUUUAGAAUUAGGUGAUUCUAUUAGUUAAUAUAUACUUCUCUUUUCCUUUUUAUCUAAAUUGAUUGGAAAAGAAAUUAUGUUCUUCACCAGCUAUUAAACUACAUAAAUGAUAUAGACAUAGAUAUAUUAUUUUCUCAAUCAAAUGGGGGACAUCGUAUAAACUUUAUUUAGCCAUCUCUCUGGCUUCCCUGCAAAGCUGCAGUUAGUCAAGCUUAAGCACCCUGCAUUUGAACUUGUCAAAUUGAUCUCUAACAAAUUAGAUAGAUUUGAGUGAGCUUCGAGGGCAUUGCUUUGAUUGUAGACAUCCACGGAUGGGACUUCCUCGUGUUCUGCUCUUCGAAAGGGUGUAGUAGAAGAAUCAGAAAAUUUGGUUCGACUCUUAUGGCUUUGCCGUCCUUUACGCAGCAAUCUUCUUUCGUGGCGCAUUUUCUCAAGUUGGUCGUACUAGGUUUUGACCAUAUUGGUUGAAGCCUGCCCCUUCCCUUGCAUCGUCAAAACGGCAAAACCUUUGAGCACAGACAGGCUAUCUAUCGAAUGCCCCCCCUACAACACCGUGGGUAAAGGAUGAUGUCAGUCACUUUCAAAUUCAUAUUCUUCGGUUUCAGCAUACGCUGCUCCAUCUGCCUCCCCACAGCACAGUGUAUUUCGGCUGAGAUCUUCAAUUGCUUCAUAAACUUGCCCAGAAAUAGUAUCCAGACCUGUAGGAUCUGUCGAGUUUCAUUCUUAAAUUCACAUCUCGAGCCUGCCCUUCGCUCCUUCCUAUUGCAUUUCAUUAAUUAAUGAACAAUCGCUCUAUGAAACAAUAGCUUCAUAGACUUGCACCUUUUGGAUUGACCUUUAACUGACAUCCAUCUAUUUCAGUAACAUCCAUCUCAAAUUAGGCCAAGUCAUAGAAAGAAAACUCAAAAUAAUGGAGAUUUUUUUCUAAUACUUUUUGUUAAAUAAAGUGAGUGAAUCGCUUUCCAUUAAUUAGCUCAUUGAACCGCCUUUGCUCUCUUUUUCACUUUGCCUUUGAAGCAGCUUGUGGCAUAUCAUCAGCUUUGCGGUGUAAAUGUUCUCAUUUUCUGAUUUCCAUCAUCAUUGCUGCCAUCAACACCAACCGAAACAUCUCUAUCAACAUCUUUGUCUAUAGAUAGAGGAAAGUCUUUCAAUUGGCUUUCUCGUUUCCCCAUCCUGACGAACGAAGUCCCGUCUAUCUCAACUUUCUUUCUAGUACUUCGUUUAAGCCAAUAAUAAAGACUCUGUAGCCACGAAAGCCUCGAAAGAAAGCAGAACGUGGGCUCUUUGUACAAAUAUGGAACAAACCUGAUGGGGAGGACUCAUUUACAGGGCAAAUAAUUCAUUUAGUUUAGUGAAAUAGUGUUCCUUGUGGAGACUUCCCAAACCUGGCUAAGGAAUCUGCAAUGCCACCGGUUUUGAAGUCAAUAGUGUGCAACUGCAGGGCUUCCCACAUCCUCUGGUUUGCUCGGUAAGGCUUCUGCGUUUGAUAACCCAUGUGGGAGUGUGUCAAGUUUUACUAAAGCGAUUUUACAUUUCAAAGGAACGGUUCCAUGUGCAGAAUCCAUUGACUACCUCUAAACCUUACAACUACAGUGAGGCAUCAACUAAUAGGUCGAUUUAAAGGUAGUCCAAACAUUUCAUAAAAGCCCCAAUACCUUGCAGUAUAUCCAUAAACUUUUGUUGUCUUCUAGUGACUUAUUGUACUAUAAUGCCAGCUAUAAUCUAUAAGGGGUGAACCAGUUUUAUAUUUUAAAAUCUUGUUUGGCAGAUCUUGGGUUGAAGGCUGUUGGUGCAUUUGUUGGCAGUUCAUAUUGCCUUCCCAGCACCUUCUAUGUUCUCAAUUUCUGGUUUUCUUUUUCAAUUGGGUUCUAAACUUUUUCCUUUGCAGAACUGAUCGUAAUUUUAACCGUAGUUGAAGGCUUAUCAUAAUUUUGUCAAGUUUUAUUUUAAUUCUUGUCCUCUUGUUUGCUGCAGGAAGGACUUUUGGUGGUUGUGAAAAUUCUGUUCCAUGGAAUGUCAUCUGAUACUAUUGAUACUUUAGGUGGUUUAUUAAUAUAUGUGGUUAUCAUACUUUUGAACAUGGUAUAUCUCGGUGGUUUAUUAUAUAGGUGAAUAUAUCUCUGUUUGGAUGUCACAUGUAUGAAUGUCAUGGGAAUAUCUCGGUGGUUUAUAUAAUGCGGGUGUCGGUUUAUUAUAUAGUUGAAUAUAUCUCUUUAAUUGCGAGAUUGUGGAUAUUAUAUGUAUGAACAUGUGUAGUGUAGUGUUUUAUUAUAUGUCGGGUGUCUCUUUAUUCGCGAAAUAUUGAGGACAUUAUAAUUAUAAUAGACUAAAACCAGCACUGUUUGGAUGUCAAUAUGUGAAUGUCACUUUGAUUAAAUAAUAAACCUUAGCAUUUCCUCGUGA